RNAcentral lists this ribosomal RNA (451 nucleotides) under Veillonella parvula. RNAcentral describes it as "bacterial SSU rRNA". It matches the Rfam family "Bacterial small subunit ribosomal RNA", at positions 28 to 456 of the family's 1533-position model. Lineage: Bacteria; Bacillati; Bacillota; Negativicutes; Veillonellales; Veillonellaceae. The record is from RNAcentral.
GACGAACGCUGGCGGCGUGCUUAACACAUGCAAGUCGAACGAAGAGCGAUGGAAGCUUGCUUCUGUCAAUCUUAGUGGCGAACGGGUGAGUAACGCGUAAUCAACCUGCCCUUCAGAGGGGGACAACAGUUGGAAACGACUGCUAAUACCGCAUACGAUCUAAUCUCGGCAUCGAGGAUAGAUGAAAGGUGGCCUCUACAUGUAAGCUAUCACUGAAGGAGGGGAUUGCGUCUGAUUAGCUAGUUGGAGGGGUAACGGCCCACCAAGGCGAUGAUCAGUAGCCGGUCUGAGAGGAUGAACGGCCACAUUGGGACUGAGACACGGCCCAGACUCCUACGGGAGGCAGCAGUGGGGAAUCUUCCGCAAUGGACGAAAGUCUGACGGAGCAACGCCGCGUGAGUGAUGACGGCCUUCGGGUUGUAAAGCUCUGUUAAUCGGGACGAAAGGCCUU